This 772-nucleotide ribosomal RNA is filed under the name uncultured bacterium. Its description in RNAcentral is "bacterial SSU rRNA". It matches the Rfam family "Bacterial small subunit ribosomal RNA", at positions 102 to 894 of the family's 1533-position model. The record is from RNAcentral.
ACGGGUGAGUAACGCGUGGGUAACCUGCCCUGUACACACGGAUAACAUACCGAAAGGUAUGCUAAUACGAGAUAAUAUGCUUUUAUCGCAUGGUAGAAGUAUCAAAGCUCCGGCGGUACAGGAUGGACCCGCGUCUGAUUAGCUAGUUGGUAAGGUAACGGCUUACCAAGGCGACGAUCAGUAGCCGACCUGAGAGGGUGAUCGGCCACAUUGGAACUGAGACACGGUCCAAACUCCUACGGGAGGCAGCAGUGGGGAAUAUUGCACAAUGGGCGAAAGCCUGAUGCAGCAACGCCGCGUGAGCGAUGAAGGCCUUCGGGUCGUAAAGCUCUGUCCUCAAGGAAGAUAAUGACGGUACUUGAGGAGGAAGCCCCGGCUAACUACGUGCCAGCAGCCGCGGUAAUACGUAGGGGGCUAGCGUUAUCCGGAAUUACUGGGCGUAAAGGGUGCGUAGGUGGUUUCUUAAGUCAGAGGUGAAAGGCUACGGCUCAACCGUAGUAAGCCUUUGAAACUGGGAAACUUGAGUGCAGGAGAGGAGAGUGGAAUUCCUAGUGUAGCGGUGAAAUGCGUAGAUAUUAGGAGGAACACCAGUUGCGAAGGCGGCUCUCUGGACUGUAACUGACACUGAGGCACGAAAGCGUGGGGAGCAAACAGGAUUAGAUACCCUGGUAGUCCACGCCGUAAACGAUGAGUACUAGCUGUCGGAGGUUACCCCCUUCGGUGGCGCAGCUAACGCAUUAAGUACUCCGCCUGGGAAGUACGCUCGCAAGAA